RNAcentral lists this ribosomal RNA (300 nucleotides) under uncultured Thermosphaera sp. Its description in RNAcentral is "bacterial SSU rRNA". It matches the Rfam family "Bacterial small subunit ribosomal RNA", at positions 496 to 795 of the family's 1533-position model. The record is from RNAcentral. Lineage: Archaea; Thermoproteati; Thermoproteota; Thermoprotei; Desulfurococcales; Desulfurococcaceae.
GCUAAGUUGUGGCCAGCAGCGGCGGGAGGACGAACCGUACGAAGGUGAGUCGGAAGGACGGGGCUUGAAGGGUGCGUAGGCGGCGCUGAAAGGUGGGUGUGAACUCCCGCGGCUUAACCGGGGAACUGCGCCCAAAACUACAGGGCUUGAGGGAGAUAGAGGUGAGCGGAACUUAGGGUGGAGCGGUGAAAUGCGUUGAUAUCCUAAGGAACGCCAGGGGCGAAAGCGGCUCACUGGGUCUCUUCUGACGCUGAGGCACGAAAGCUAGGGUAGCGAACGGGAUUAGAUACCCCAGUAGUC